This is a non-coding RNA of Triticum aestivum (bread wheat), 135 nucleotides long. Lineage: Eukaryota; Viridiplantae; Streptophyta; Magnoliopsida; Poales; Poaceae. The record is from Rfam.
UCACUAAUGACUCCGUCCUAAAAUUUUUGUCUUAUAUUUGUCUAGAUACUGAUGUAUCUGGUGCUAAAACAUGACUUGAUAUAUCCGUAUUUAGACAAAUUUAAGACAAGAAUUUUGGAACGAAGGGAGUACUAA